CCCUGAAGGCAAGAGAAAAGAAUAAUAAAAGGGGGAAAUGGCCUGCUGAGCAAAGACUCUGAGUCCUUUAUAACAGGAGGUCGUUUUUGAUUAUAGGAAGGAACCUUCAGUGGCCAUGGAAACCAAAAUGCCACACAAAAGCCAGAGGGUGCUUGGGAGGUAAACAAGAUAGAUGAAAGGUGAUGGUGCUUUUAAUCUCCACAAUCAAUGUGUUUAGACACCUAGCAGGAUGAAACAACUGGAAACAAUGGCAUUCAGUAAGGAAACCUUUUCCAUCAAGAAGCCUUGGAGCAGUUAUGUGAAAACUGGUUUUGAUUUGGUGAUGGGAAAAACCUAAUCAGUCUGGGUUCAUCAUGCUAAAGGGAAUUUGCUGAAAAUUCAUCACAUGUGGUCAGUGCAGAUUG
This is a long non-coding RNA of Poecile atricapillus (Black-capped chickadee), 404 nucleotides long. RefSeq lists it as uncharacterized. The transcript has 3 exons. The record is from RefSeq and is a predicted model, not a curated record. Lineage: Eukaryota; Metazoa; Chordata; Aves; Passeriformes; Paridae.